UUCCCGGGCCUUGUACACACCGCCCGUCACACCACGAAAGUUGGCAAUACCCGAAGCCGGUGGCCUAACCCGCAAGGGAGGGAGCCGUCGAAGGUAGGGUCGAUGAUUGGGUG
This 113-nucleotide ribosomal RNA is filed under the name uncultured bacterium. RNAcentral's name for it is "partial 16S ribosomal RNA". It matches the Rfam family "Bacterial small subunit ribosomal RNA", at positions 1371 to 1482 of the family's 1533-position model. The record is from RNAcentral.